Molecule: ribosomal RNA, 465 nt
Filed under: uncultured bacterium
Lineage: Bacteria
Description: bacterial SSU rRNA
Rfam family: Bacterial small subunit ribosomal RNA
Source: RNAcentral
CCUANGGGUGGCAGCAGUGGGGAAUUUUGGACAAUGGGGGCAACCCUGAUCCAGCCAUGCCGCGUGAGUGAAGAAGGCCUUCGGGUUGUAAAGCUCUUUCGGCCGGAACGAAAUCGCGUACGUGAAUAACGUGCGUGGAUGACGGUACUGGAAGAAGAAGCACCGGCUAACUACGUGCCAGCAGCCGCGGUAAUACGUAGGGUGCGAGCGUUAAUCGGAUUUACUGGGCGUAAAGAGCGCGUAGGUGGUUCGAUGAGUCGGAGGUGAAAUCCCUCGGCUUAACCGAGGACCCGCGUCCGAUACUGUCGAACUUGAGUGCAGGAGAGGAGAGCGGAAUUCCCAAUGUAGCGGUGAAAUGCGUAGAUAUUGGGAGGAACACCGGUGGCGAAGGCGGCUCUCUGGACUGCCACUGACACUGAGGCGCGAAAGCUAGGGGAGCAAACGGGAUUAGAUACCCCANUANUC